ACUUCUCCCAAACUACAAUGACAAUUGUGUAGUUAACCAUAAGUUCCAAACCCCUGAUAAAUCCUUGACCCUCCAAGUUCUCACCCCUCCUCUCUCUAAGCUUCAAUGGAUCCCUCUUCUACCUCCCUCUCACCAUAUUGAACUCCAAACCACCCACACCUAACCAACCAUACCCACUCGCAGAUUACCCACAAAUGGUUUUUCUCAAAACCCUCCGUUCUCGCCAUUUCCACACACUCCUAAACCCCCAAAACCCUCCUCCUUCCCAAUACUUCAAAAACCCUACAACCCAAUUCUUCCACAGAUCCAUUUCGCUUUCCGCACAAUUCAAAUCCGAAUCGAUCAGCAAUCAGCAGACAAAGAAGCCCUUGCACGUUCUGUUCAAGGAAGCCGUUGGAUUAUGCGAAAAAAUUAAACCCAUUGAAGCCCAGAACGAACCCGAAACCAAUGAAUUGAAGAAUAGAUUAAGAAAAUUGGAAGAAGAAGUGAGGAGGUUGAAAGAAAAUAGUAGUGAGAAAGUAAAAGUAGAGAAUUUGAAGAAAAAGAAGAUUGAGAAUGAUGAGUCUAGUUCUAAGAGCUUGUACGCGUUGUUUGCGAAUAAAGGAGGUGAUAGUGAGAAACCUAGGGUGGUGGAGUCUUUGAGGAUGGAGGAUCCAAUUGUGUACAAAGAGCUUUUGCUCGAAUUGGCUCUAUUUGUGAAGCAUUUGUACAAAGAAGGCUGCUCUGUAAUGCUAAUUUCUUGCCCAAUAACAAGUUUGAUAUUACUUGUUUCGAGAACAGCUAUGGCCGUGAUUUUAUUAGGUAUGCCGCGGAGAAGUUUGGCAAGGAUAACCAAGAAAUUGUAAAAUGGUUGUCAGCCAGUGACUUGAAAAAGGUGGCCCUCUUUGGAUGUCCUUCGCUCGGAAGGAAAAAUGUCUUUUCUGCUAAAAGCUUGCGCAAUUUUUUCAGAAUUCAAGGAGACACCGUAUGCAGUAAAUGCGUCUUGAAAUCAUCAUGCAAGUUUGUGAAUCAGAGUGUAUCGAAAGGCAAUAACAACAAUUUGAAUUUGGCUGUUGUAAUGAGGGUUAUAAUUUUGUACACCAUGGAAUCUGUUCCUCCACCGUUGGUAGUGCCUGACGAGAUAGAGGCUUCUGUUAAUGUAUUGCUGAAGGAGGUUCUGAACGUAAGCCAAACUCACGCAUAAAGCUUUUUGACGGUUCCAUAUAUAAAGUGGUCUUUCAGGUGCUUUAAAUCUGGAUUAUUGUUCAGAGUACUUUGUUCCUUGAUAGGUUUGUUGGUUUAUAGACUAGUAAACUGAUUUGCUUUCAUUCUCAGAGUACUGUCAAUAUUCUAAUGCACAAAUCUGGGAGAUGAAGUGUGAUGAUCAAAUGUCUACAUUGUUAAUAGCUCAUGCUGAGAACAAUGCAAAAGAUUGUUGUUACAUUACAUCUUCCGGUGGUGGUUGUUACAUUACAUCUAUGAAUGAUAUUCCGGGGUUUGCUUGCCAAAAAUAUGCGAAAAGGGGCUUCUCUGUUGAAUUGUGGAAGUGUCAUCUUGAAUUGGCUGGUUAGUGAACUUCAUAAAUGCUCUAGUUAUUUAUGUCUUAUCAACAAAAAAUUGGCAUUCAACAAUUGAGUAGAGCUUUUGAGAUGUAUAUUUCAACUUAUUUCUUCAUUAUAUAUGAAUGGCCAUUUUAUCCAUUUUAAAUGUAUAGUGUUGUCGAUGCAUACAAUAAAAUCUGAAGUAUUGGGUACUGAAGUUAAAUUUCA
Camellia sinensis is the source of this 1748-nucleotide RNA transcript. RefSeq lists it as uncharacterized. The record is from RefSeq and is a predicted model, not a curated record. Lineage: Eukaryota; Viridiplantae; Streptophyta; Magnoliopsida; Ericales; Theaceae.